This 49-nucleotide small RNA is filed under the name Sinorhizobium meliloti 2011. RNAcentral describes it as "putative ncRNA". The record is from RNAcentral. Lineage: Bacteria; Pseudomonadati; Pseudomonadota; Alphaproteobacteria; Hyphomicrobiales; Rhizobiaceae.
GAGAGAUACCACAGGAGCGGUACCGAACGCGUCCGCGCCUGUGGCGGCA